This 478-nucleotide ribosomal RNA is filed under the name uncultured bacterium. RNAcentral's name for it is "partial 16S ribosomal RNA". It matches the Rfam family "Bacterial small subunit ribosomal RNA", at positions 28 to 523 of the family's 1533-position model. The record is from RNAcentral.
GACGAACGCUGGCGGCGUGCUUAACACAUGCAAGUCGAACGGUAAGGCCCUUCGGGGUACACGAGUGGCGAACGGGUGAGUAACACGUGGGUGAUCUGCCCUGCACUUCGGGAUAAGCCUGGGUAACUGGGUCUAAUACCGGAUAGGACCACUGCCUGCAUGGGUGGUGGUGGAAAGCUUUUGCGGUGUGGGAUGGGCCCGCGGCCUAUCAGCUUGUUGGCGGGGUGAUGGCCUACCAAGGCGACGACGGGUAGCCGGCCUGAGAGGGUGACCAGCCACACUGGGACUGAGAAACGGCCCAGACUCCUACGGGAGGCAGCAGUGGGGAAUAUUGCACAAUGGGCGCAAGCCUGAUGCAGCGACGCCGCGUGAGGGAUGACGGCCUUCGGGUUGUAAACCUCUUUCAGCACCGACGAAGCGCAAGUGACGGUAGGUGCAGAAGAAGGACCGGCCAACUACGUGCCAGCCGCCGCAGUAA